AGCUACAAGCCAAUAUUUGUAGUUUAACCUGCCCAAUGUGUAAUUGAAAAGAUAAAUGGCCGCGGUACCUUGACCGUGCUAAGGUAGCGUAAUCAGUUGGCUUUUAAAUGGAGUCAGGAAUGAAUGGAAUAACUGGGUUUAGCUGUCUCCUUCCUAAUAAGUUGAAUUUACUGUUCAAGUGAAAAAGCUUGAUUUAAGAAAAAAGACGAGAAGACCCUUAGAAUUUUUUUUAGUGGGAAAAUAUUUUCCUAAUGAUUUUGUUGGGGCGACAUGGAAAUAUAUAAAAACUUUCCUUCAAAUACUUGCCGAUUUUGUUAAGUAAGGAUAAAUUACCUGAGGGAUAACAGCAUAAUUCUACAAAUGAGUUUGUGACCUCGAUGUUGGACUAGGGAACUAGCAAGCUAGCCGUUUGUUGUGUGGGUUCUGUUCGAACUAUAAUCCCU
RNAcentral lists this ribosomal RNA (443 nucleotides) under Pseudobornella orientalis. RNAcentral describes it as "Dendronotus orientalis partial 16S ribosomal RNA". It matches the Rfam family "Bacterial large subunit ribosomal RNA", at positions 1829 to 2597 of the family's 2925-position model. The record is from RNAcentral. Lineage: Eukaryota; Metazoa; Mollusca; Gastropoda; Nudibranchia; Dendronotidae.